CAUUGUUAAAGCAGCACCCAUUUUACUUUCAAGUACAGAAACUGCUGGAGGAUCAGGGAAAGUGGAGCGAAGGCAUCACAGAAAGAAACUGGAGGGUUCCUUCCUGUUCAACUUCUCCAGCAUUCUCGUUAUUCUCAGUUAAGUGGCCCUUCUGGGAAGCAGUCAAUCCAGGACAAGAGUGUGAUAUUCUGGAACCUCAUGGGCUGCCAAUAUCGAGAUGCCAAUAAAAUAAGAUACUGUGGGCCUGAUUGUCUUCACCUCCACACCAGUGUAAAUCUGAAGUAACUCCAUUUAAGUAAUUCAUGUAAGAUUGAUGUCAGCAAGAGGAGAAUCGAGGCCCGUAUGUUUGAGAAUACCUGUUUCACGUUUUCUCAGUUUCAGAAAGUCUUUUUUUUUAAAUCCAUGGAAAACUUCAAAAUGUAUACUAGCUGUGAGAAGAAAUAAACAGCAGCAAACGAGAGUUAGCAAAGGGGAUGGAGUUCAUGCCUAUUAGUCUCUUGAAACAUUUUUCAAACAAAUACUUUUAGAAAUUAAAAUUGUAAUUUUUUAAAAAGGCCUGAAUAUUAUAUAACAGAAAAAGCUCAAAAAUAAACAUUAGAUGAUAAAAGCAUAGAUGAUAUGCAAGAUACACAUAAAUGAAGUGCCCAGAUAUUACAGUGCUUUGAACCGUAUAUAUAUGUGAUUAAUACACUUUAAAAGUUAUGUUGAAAAAUAUUUAUAUCAUAUUCCCAACCAUCUCUGGUAACUGAAUCUCAAGAUUUCCUUCCUUCCCUGCUAUCAUCCAGAAAAGCUAAACAAACAUGUACAUACCAAAAGGGAAAGAUUCCUGCAGCAAGAAAUAGCAGC
This is a long non-coding RNA of Caretta caretta (loggerhead turtle), 846 nucleotides long. RefSeq lists it as uncharacterized. NCBI's taxonomy places the organism in Eukaryota, Metazoa, Chordata, Testudines, Cheloniidae. The record is from RefSeq and is a predicted model, not a curated record.